GUUUAGCCCCGAUUGCAGCUUUGUCUGAGCUCAUUUUCGUGAUCUAGGGUUGCGGCGGCAAAGCCGCCGCAACCCUAGAUCACGAAAAUAGCGAGUGCGGAAAGCGGGAAAUAGC
RNAcentral lists this unclassified non-coding RNA (115 nucleotides) under Chryseobacterium gambrini. Its description in RNAcentral is "Flavo-1 RNA". Lineage: Bacteria; Pseudomonadati; Bacteroidota; Flavobacteriia; Flavobacteriales; Weeksellaceae. The record is from RNAcentral.